AUUGAACGCUAGCGGGCUGCCUUACACAUGCAAGUCGAACGAGUGGCGUACCGGUGAGCCAUGUAUCGGAACGUGCCCAGUAGCGGGGGAUAACUACGCGAAACGUAGCUAAUACCGCAUACUAUUGGAGCGGCCGAUAUCGGAUUAGCUAGUUGGGGGGGUAACGGCUCACCAAGGCGAUGAGCCGUAGCGGGUUUGCGAGGACGACCAGCCACAUAUGGACUAGGACACUGCCCAUACUCCUACGGGAGGCAACGGUGGGGAAUUUGGGACAAUGGAGGGAACGCUGAUCCAGCCAGCCCGCGUGUGCGAUGAAGGCCUUCAAGGUGUAAAGCACGAUUGGCAGGAAAGCGGUACCUGCAGAAUACGCACCGGCUAACUACGUGCCAGCAGCCGCGGUAAUAG
This 405-nucleotide ribosomal RNA is filed under the name uncultured bacterium. Its description in RNAcentral is "partial 16S ribosomal RNA". It matches the Rfam family "Bacterial small subunit ribosomal RNA", at positions 30 to 526 of the family's 1533-position model. The record is from RNAcentral.